UACGGAAGGUCCGGGCGUUAUCCGGAUUUAUUGGGUUUAAAGGGAGCGUAGGCCGGAGAUUAAGCGUGUUGUGAAAUGUAGACGCUCAACGUCUGCACUGCAGCGCGAACUGGGGGGCUUGAGUGCGCCGGAGGUAGGCGGAAUUCGUGGUGUAGCGGUGAAAUGCUUAGAUAUCACGAAGAACUCCGAUUGCGAAGGCAGCUCACUGGAGCGCAACUGACGCUGAAGCUCGAAAGUGCGGGUAUCGAACAGG
This 253-nucleotide ribosomal RNA is filed under the name uncultured bacterium. Its description in RNAcentral is "partial 16S ribosomal RNA". It matches the Rfam family "Bacterial small subunit ribosomal RNA", at positions 524 to 776 of the family's 1533-position model. The record is from RNAcentral.